ACAAAAAAAUAGAAACUACAAAAGUACAUAAUAAUAUUUAACAUUUUGAUCACAUUCUUAUAUAGUUCAUGCAAGACAUAAUAGCAAGAACUAUAUAUAUUGAUCAAUAAUUAAUGACCACCACCAAUGCCUCCACCACCACCAAAUCCACCACCACCUCCUAUACCUCCGCCAACGCCUCCACCUGCACCACCACCAAAGCCACCUCCGGCACCUCCACCACCACCAAUGCCACCACCUCCACCACCACCAAAUCCUCCGCCUCCACCUCCACCUAGACCACCUCCGGCCCCUCCACCUCCACCAAAACCACCUCCAGCACCACCACCUAAUCCUCCUCCACCACCAGCACCACCACCAAAUCCACCACCUCCACCAACUCCUCCUCCGGCACCACCACCUACUCCUCCACCAGCUCCACCACCACCACCUAGUCCUCCUCCAGCUCCACCACCACCUCCUAGUCCACCACCACCACCUAGUCCUCCUCCGGCUCCACCACCACCUCC
RNAcentral lists this long non-coding RNA (509 nucleotides) under Solanum lycopersicum (tomato). RNAcentral's name for it is "long non-coding RNA (SLYC_LNC001081)". The record is from RNAcentral. Lineage: Eukaryota; Viridiplantae; Streptophyta; Magnoliopsida; Solanales; Solanaceae.